This 379-nucleotide unclassified non-coding RNA is filed under the name plant metagenome. RNAcentral describes it as "partial contains 5.8S ribosomal RNA, internal transcribed spacer 2, and large subunit ribosomal RNA". The stretch from base 1 to 106 matches the Rfam family "5.8S ribosomal RNA", at positions 49 to 154 of the family's 154-position model. The record is from RNAcentral.
CGAACUGCGAUAAGUAAUGUGAAUUGCAGAAUUCAGUGAAUCAUCGAAUCUUUGAACGCACCUUGCGCUCCUUGGUAUUCCUUGGAGCAUGCCUGUUUGAGUAUCAUGAAAUCUUCAAAGUAAAUCUUUUGUUAACUCAAUUGGUUUCUACUUUGGUAUUGGAGGUCUUUGCAGCUUCACACCUGCUCCUCUUUGUUCAUUAGCUGGAUCUCAGUGUUAUGCUUGGUUCCACUCGGCGUGAUAAGUUAUCUAUCGCUGAGGACACUGUAAAAGGUGGCCAAGGUAAAUGCAGAUGAACCGCUUCUAAUAGUCCAUUGACUUGGACAAUACUUUUAUGAUCUGAUCUCAAAUCAGGUAGGACUACCCGCUGAACUUAAGC